UACAGAGGUGGCAAGCGUUGUUCGGAAUUACUGGGCGUAAAGGGCGCGUAGGCGGUCUUCUAAGUCUUGUGUGAAAUCCCUCGGCUCAACUGAGGAACUGCACGGGAUACUGGAAGACUUGAGUUCGGGAGAGGGAAGCGGAAUUCCGGGUGUAGCGGUGAAAUGCGUAGAUAUCCGGAGGAACACCGGUGGCGAAGGCGGCAUCCUGGACCGGCAUUGACGCUGAGGAGCGAAAGCCAGGGGAGCAAACGGG
Molecule: ribosomal RNA, 253 nt
Filed under: uncultured bacterium
Lineage: Bacteria
Description: partial 16S ribosomal RNA
Rfam family: Bacterial small subunit ribosomal RNA
Source: RNAcentral